Molecule: ribosomal RNA, 403 nt
Filed under: uncultured Acetobacterium sp.
Lineage: Bacteria; Bacillati; Bacillota; Clostridia; Eubacteriales; Eubacteriaceae
Description: bacterial SSU rRNA
Rfam family: Bacterial small subunit ribosomal RNA
Source: RNAcentral
GGGGAAUAUUGCGCAAUGGGGGAAACGCUGACGCAGCAAUACCGCGUGAGUGAAGAAGGUUUUCGGAUCGUAAAGCUCUGUUAUUGGAGAAGCAAAAAAGACGGUACCCCUUGAAUAAGCCACGGCUAACUACGUGCCAGCAGCCGCGGUAAUACGUAGGGGACAAGCGUUGUCCGGAUUUACUGGGCGUAAAGGGCACGCAGGCGGUUUUUUAAGUCAGAUGUGAAAGGUACCGGCUCAACCGGUGACAUGCAUUUGAAACUGAAAGACUUGAGUAUUGGAGAGGCAAGUGGAAUUCCUAGUGUAGCGGUGAAAUGCGUAGAUAUUAGGAGGAACACAGGUGGCGAAGGCGGCUUGCUGGACAAAUACUGACGCUGAGGUGCGAAGGCGUGGGGAGCAAACA